AGAGUUUGAUCAUGGCUCAGGAUAAACGCUGGCGGCGUGCCUAACACAUGCAAGUCGAACGCCCUUAGCAAUAAGGGAGUGGCGGACGGGUGAGUAACACAUGGGUACCUGCCCCGAGGUGAGGAAUACCGGCGAGAAAUCGCCGACAAUACCGCAUAUGCUUUUCACAAAGCAAAGCUCGCAAGGGCGCCUUGGGAUGG
This 200-nucleotide ribosomal RNA is filed under the name uncultured bacterium. Its description in RNAcentral is "partial 16S ribosomal RNA". It matches the Rfam family "Bacterial small subunit ribosomal RNA", at positions 8 to 228 of the family's 1533-position model. The record is from RNAcentral.